RNAcentral lists this ribosomal RNA (253 nucleotides) under uncultured bacterium. RNAcentral describes it as "partial 16S ribosomal RNA". It matches the Rfam family "Bacterial small subunit ribosomal RNA", at positions 524 to 776 of the family's 1533-position model. The record is from RNAcentral.
UACGGAGGGUGCGAGCGUUGUCCGGAAUCACUGGGCGUAAAGGGCGCGUAGGUGGCGCGAGUAGUCAACGGUGAAAGCCCGGGGCUCAACCCCGGGUCGGCCGUCGAUACUCUCGUGCUUGAGCACUGUAGAGGCAGGUGGAAUUCCGGGUAUAGCGGUGGAAUGCGUAGAGAUCCGGAAGAACACCGGUGGCGAAGGCGGCCUGCUGGGCAGUAGCUGACACUGAGGCGCGACAGCGUGGGGAGCAAACAGG